GCAUCAUUGGUCUAGUGGUAGAAUUCGUCGUUGCCAUCGACGAGGCCCGUGUUCGAUUCACGGAUG
Molecule: transfer RNA, 66 nt
Filed under: Penicillium nalgiovense
Lineage: Eukaryota; Fungi; Ascomycota; Eurotiomycetes; Eurotiales; Aspergillaceae
Description: tRNA-Gly
Rfam family: tRNA
About the family: Transfer RNA (tRNA) molecules are approximately 80 nucleotides in length. Their secondary structure includes four short double-helical elements and three loops (D, anti-codon, and T loops).
Source: RNAcentral